This 490-nucleotide ribosomal RNA is filed under the name uncultured bacterium. RNAcentral's name for it is "partial 16S ribosomal RNA". It matches the Rfam family "Bacterial small subunit ribosomal RNA", at positions 30 to 507 of the family's 1533-position model. The record is from RNAcentral.
AUUGAACGCUGGCGGCAGGCCUAACACAUGCAAGUCGAACGGUAACAGGAAGAAGCUUGCUUCUUUGCUGACGAGUGGCGGACGGGUGAGUAAUGUCUGGGAAACUGCCUGAUGGAGGGGGAUAACUACUGGAAACGGUAGCUAAUACCGCAUAACGUCGCAAGACCAAAGAGGGGGACCUUCGGGCCUCUUGCCAUCGGAUGUGCCCAGAUGGGAUUAGCUAGUAGGUGGGGUAACGGCUCACCUAGGCGACGAUCCCUAGCUGGUCUGAGAGGAUGACCAGCCACACUGGAACUGAGACACGGUCCAGACUCCUACGGGAGGCAGCAGUGGGGAAUAUUGCACAAUGGGCGCAAGCCUGAUGCAGCCAUGCCGCGUGUAUGAAGAAGGCCUUGGGGUUGUAAAGUACUUUCAGCGGGGAGGAAGGGAGUAAAGUUAAUACCUUUGCUCAUUGACGUUACCCGCAGAAGAAGCACCGGCUAACUCCGUG